RNAcentral lists this small nuclear RNA (311 nucleotides) under Erinaceus europaeus (western European hedgehog). RNAcentral describes it as "7SK RNA". It matches the Rfam family "7SK RNA". Rfam says of the family: 7SK was discovered as an abundant small nuclear RNA in the mid-70s but a possible function has only recently been suggested. Two independent studies have found that 7SK RNA binds the CDK9/cyclin T complex (known as elongation factor P-TEFb). Lineage: Eukaryota; Metazoa; Chordata; Mammalia; Eulipotyphla; Erinaceidae. The record is from Rfam by way of RNAcentral.
CGAUAUGAGGGUGAUCUGGCUGUGACAUCUGUUACACCAUUGAUCACCAGGGUUGAUUCAGCUGAUCUGGUUGGCUAACCGGGUGUCUGCUUCCUCCUUUAAGGAUCCACCUGCGUCCCUACGGAAGCUGCGGGCUAAGUUGAAGAAGAUGACCUUCCCGCAAUAGAGACAAACCAGUCUUCUCUAUUUGGGGAAGACCGUCCUCUAUACAAGUAGUUGCGCUCUUCUGCUAGAACCUUCAAACAAGCUCUCAUAGUUCAUGAUUUGCUCUUAUCCAACCUUAACAAUUUCAUCUUUGGGAGUCAGGCGGU